This 253-nucleotide ribosomal RNA is filed under the name uncultured bacterium. Its description in RNAcentral is "partial 16S ribosomal RNA". It matches the Rfam family "Bacterial small subunit ribosomal RNA", at positions 524 to 776 of the family's 1533-position model. The record is from RNAcentral.
UACGGGGGGGGCAAGCGUUGUUCGGAAUUACUGGGCGUAAAGGGCGCGUAGGCGGGCGGGCAAGUCUCUCGUGAAAGCCCACGGCUCAACCGUGGAAUUGCGGGAGAUACUGCUUGUCUUGAGUCCGGGAGAGGAGGGUGGAAUUCCCAGUGUAGCGGUGAAAUGCGUAGAUAUUGGGAGGAACACCGGUGGCGAAGGCGGCUCUCUGGACCGGUACUGACGCUGAGGCGCGAAAGCUAGGGGAGCAAACGGG